This 302-nucleotide ribosomal RNA is filed under the name uncultured bacterium. RNAcentral describes it as "partial 16S ribosomal RNA". It matches the Rfam family "Bacterial small subunit ribosomal RNA", at positions 508 to 807 of the family's 1533-position model. The record is from RNAcentral.
GCAGCAGCCGCGGUAAUACGAAGGGGGCUAGCGUUGUUCGGAUUUACUGGGCGUAAAGCGCACGUAGGCGGACUUUUAAGUCAGGGGUGAAAUCCCGGGGCUCAACCCCGGAACUGCCUUUGAUACUGGAAGUCUUGAGUAUGGUAGAGGUGAGUGGAAUUCCGAGUGUAGAGGUGAAAUUCGUAGAUAUUCGGAGGAACACCAGUGGCGAAGGCGGCUCACUGGACCAUUACUGACGCUGAGGUGCGAAAGCGUGGGGAGCAAACAGGAUUAGAUACCCGAGUAGUCCCUGUCUCUUAUAC